Non-coding RNA from Dipodomys ordii (Ord's kangaroo rat), 65 nucleotides. The record is from Rfam. NCBI's taxonomy places the organism in Eukaryota, Metazoa, Chordata, Mammalia, Rodentia, Heteromyidae.
GGUGGCUAAGUGGUAGAGCACUUGCCUUGCAUGCAUGAGGCCCUGGGUUCGAUUCCUCAGCACCA